UGUAUGGGCUCAAAAAAGGCUCCCAACGAAGAGCCAUUGCGGAAGAAUCCUUUCCGUCCUGGAUUUGGAAUCCCUCGCUACCGUCAUCCGAUCCGAGGUUUGAUUUCCCCCGUACGCCUUACAUGGAGAUUUCAUCGGAACCGACCACAUCCACCUGCAGCCACUGGUAAUCUCUUCUUUUUGUAUUAUUUUGUUGCUUUGGUUUCCUAUAAAUAUGUUGGUAAUUCCAGAAUUUCUGGUCGUUAGUGGUGUUUCUGGUUAUCUUGUUUUGAUCCAUUGUUCUUUUUAACCGCUUAUUUGAAUUCAAAGGCAUUCUUAGCUUCCCAUUUCCGAGAUUAUAUUUCUUCUCACGAAUUUGUUAUUUGGGGGCUUAUCUUUGUGAUUAGAAAGAGAAAAGUUGAAUUUUCUUUUAUUAGGGAUUUAUUGGCCUUAGAGAGUCUUUGAGUUUAAAUUUUACGAGGAUUUUCAAUUAUGUGGCAACGCAGGCUAGAAUAGCUGGAUUAUCCUUAAUGCACCUGAUUCUUGAACGUACUAGAAAAUCAGAUUGAA
Non-coding RNA from Elaeis guineensis (African oil palm), 549 nucleotides. NCBI's taxonomy places the organism in Eukaryota, Viridiplantae, Streptophyta, Magnoliopsida, Arecales, Arecaceae. The record is from RefSeq and is a predicted model, not a curated record.